AACGAACGCUGGCGGCAUGCCUAACACAUGCAAGUCGAACGAAGGCUUCGGCCUUAGUGGCGCACGGGUGCGUAACGCGUGGGAAUCUGCCCUUUGGUUCGGAAUAACAGCUGGAAACGGCUGCUAAUACCGGAUGAUGACGAAAGUCCAAAGAUUUAUCGCCAGAGGAUGAGCCCGCGUUGGAUUAGGUAGUUGGUGGGGUAAAGGCCUACCAAGCCGACGAUCCAUAGCUGGUCGGAGAGGAUGAUCAGCCACACUGGGACUGAGACACGGCCCAGACGCCUACGGGAGGCAGCAGUGGGGAAUAUGGGACAAUGGGCGUAAGCCUGCACCGGCAAGGCCGGGUGAGUGAUGAAGGGCCUAGGGUUGUAAAGCUCUUUUACCCGGGAAGAUAAUGACUGUACCGGGAGAAUAAGCCCCGGCUAACUCCGU
RNAcentral lists this ribosomal RNA (432 nucleotides) under uncultured bacterium. RNAcentral's name for it is "partial 16S ribosomal RNA". It matches the Rfam family "Bacterial small subunit ribosomal RNA", at positions 29 to 506 of the family's 1533-position model. The record is from RNAcentral.